UACGUAGGGGGCUAGCGUUGUCCGGAAUCAUUGGGCGUAAAGCGCGUGUAGGCGGUCCGGUAAGUCCGCUGUGAAAGUCGGGGGCUCAACCCUCGGAUGCCGGUGGAUACUGUCGGGCUUGAGUACGGAAGAGGCGAGUGGAAUUCCCAGUGUAGCGGUGAAAUGCGUAGAUAUUGGGAAGAACACCGGUGGCGAAAGCGCCUUGCUGGGUCUGCACUGACACUGAGGGACGAAAGCUAGGGGAGCGAAAGGG
Molecule: ribosomal RNA, 253 nt
Filed under: uncultured bacterium
Lineage: Bacteria
Description: partial 16S ribosomal RNA
Rfam family: Bacterial small subunit ribosomal RNA
Source: RNAcentral